RNAcentral lists this ribosomal RNA (472 nucleotides) under uncultured bacterium. RNAcentral describes it as "partial 16S ribosomal RNA". It matches the Rfam family "Bacterial small subunit ribosomal RNA", at positions 28 to 523 of the family's 1533-position model. The record is from RNAcentral.
GAUGAACGCUGACAGAAUGCUUAACACAUGCAAGUCUACUUGAUCCUUCAGGUGAUGGUGGCGGACGGGUGAGUAACGCGUAAAGAACUUGCCUUGCAGUCUGGGACAACGUCUGGAAACGGACGCUAAUACCGGAUAUUAUGAUUGAAUCGCAUGAUUUAAUUAUGAAAGCUAUAUGCGCUGCGAGAGAGCUUUGCGUCCCAUUAGUUAGUUGGUGAGGUAAUGGCUCAACAAGACGAUGAUGGGUAGCCGGCCUGAGAGGGUGAACGGCCACAAAGGGAAUGCGACACAGGCCUUACUCCUACGGGGGGCAGUAGUGGGGAAUAUUGGACAAUGGACCAAAAAUCUUGUCCAGGAAUUCUGUGUGGACGGUGAAGUUUUUCGGGAUGUAAAGUGGUUUUAGUUGGGAAGAAGAAAGUGACGGUACCAACAGAAGAAGCGACGGCUAAAUACGUGCCAGCCGCCGCCGUAA